Small nucleolar RNA from Rattus norvegicus (Norway rat), 119 nucleotides. Ensembl annotates it as small nucleolar RNA SNORA17. The record is from Ensembl. Lineage: Eukaryota; Metazoa; Chordata; Mammalia; Rodentia; Muridae.
CCUGCCCCUGGAGAUAUUAUAGAUGUGGUUGCUCUGCCACAGGUAGCAGAGAAGAGAGAGGUUAUGUCUAUGAUCAGUGUUCUGGCCUGUAACAUCUGAAUGAUUAGUAGUCUAACAUU